This is a long non-coding RNA of Helianthus annuus (common sunflower), 551 nucleotides long. RefSeq lists it as uncharacterized. The record is from RefSeq and is a predicted model, not a curated record. NCBI's taxonomy places the organism in Eukaryota, Viridiplantae, Streptophyta, Magnoliopsida, Asterales, Asteraceae. The transcript has 2 exons.
AACAUGUUGGAGGUUAUAAGUGUUAACCUCAAGUUCAUCACCUUCUCACUUCACAACACCCAUUUCACUCAAACAUUCUCCUCCUCUCUUCCUUUCGGCCGACCCCAAGCACAACAACCAUCUCCAUCAUUCAAGCUCUUUCAUCCAAUCCACAAGCAUACAUAGGUGUUAAAGUGCAAACAACUAAGCUCGGUGUGUUCGGAAGCUCAAGGACCUCUCUUAUCUUCUUUUAACCACCACAUUUCAUCACUUGAACUCUCCUAGCCUUGAGCUAGUGGAAAUUAGUGGAUCUGGCAGAGUAUGCGUUGUGUCAAGGCUGCGUAGUGAAUAAAGAUGUCAACCGAGUCAUCGAGUUUAGAAGGUGGAUCCCUUUCCUGGAUGGGAUGCGCAAUUCUAAACUUGGGUUUUUAUUUACGUGCUUUUGUUGAGUCAUUGUGAACUCCGUUAAUUAUGUCAUGGUUGUAACUUACUUUAUGUGCCAAUAUUUUCAAACAAUGUCGUUGUGGUAUUUUUUUUAACUUAAUGAAUGGAUAACAUAUUGUGUUUUAUCA